ACUCAAAUGAAUUGACGGGGGCCCGCACAAGCAGCGGAGCGUGUGGUUUAAUUCGACGCAACGCGCAGCACCUCACCCAGAUUUGACAUGGGGCUGCAAGCUGUGGAAACACAGCCGCCUACGAGGGCGCCCCACAGAUGCUGCAUGGCUGUCGUCAGCUCGUGUCGUGAGAUGUUGGGUUCAGUCCCGCAACGAGCGCAACCCUCGUCCGUAGUUAUCAGCGUGUCUACGGAGACAGCCCGCAGGAAUGCGGGAGGAAGGCGGGGAUGACGUCAAGUCCGCAUGGCUCUUACAUCUGGGGCGACACACACGCUACAAUGGCCGGCACAACGCGCGGCGACCUGGCGACAGGAGGCAAAUCGCCAAAGCCGGUCUCAGUGCAGAUCGGGGGCUGCAACUCGCCCCCGUGAAGGCGGAGUUGCUAGUAACCGCGUAUCAGCAUGGCGCGGUGAAUACGUACCCGGGCCUUGUACACACCGCCCGU
RNAcentral lists this ribosomal RNA (484 nucleotides) under uncultured bacterium. RNAcentral's name for it is "partial 16S ribosomal RNA". It matches the Rfam family "Bacterial small subunit ribosomal RNA", at positions 899 to 1397 of the family's 1533-position model. The record is from RNAcentral.